RNAcentral lists this ribosomal RNA (662 nucleotides) under uncultured Agaricomycotina. Its description in RNAcentral is "eukaryotic LSU rRNA". The stretch from base 249 to 402 matches the Rfam family "5.8S ribosomal RNA". Lineage: Eukaryota; Fungi; Basidiomycota. The record is from RNAcentral.
CUUGGUCAUUUAGAGGAAGUAAAAGUCGUAACAAGGUUUCCGUAGGUGAACCUGCGGAAGGAUCAUUAGUGAAUGAGACGCAAGUCUCAAACACCCGUCGCAACUGGCUGUGCGCCUCUCGGGGCUGCACGCCGGAAGCGACACAUCUCACACACCUGUGCACCUUUCGGACGUUGGGUGCUGCAAAGCCCCGACGCCUGCCCUUUUACAUACCACUGUCUAUGAAUGUUAACUAUGUUAAACAAUACAACUUUCAACAACGGAUCUCUUGGCUCUCGCAUCGAUGAAGAACGCAGCGAAAUGCGAUAAGUAAUGUGAAUUGCAGAAUUCAGUGAAUCAUCGAAUCUUUGAACGCACCUUGCGCCCCAUGGUAUUCCGUGGGGCAUGCCUGUUUGAGUGUCACGUGAAACCCUCACUCCUGUCAUUGCCGCGAGGCGUGACUUGCAGUGGACUUGGACUGUGCCGUAGUUGGCUCGUCUUGAAAUUCAUUAGCUGUGCUGUGCGAUUUCGGCCGCCUGGUGUGAUAACUAUCUACGCCAACUGUGUCGUCAUUGGUCGGUGUGGCUCAUAAUCGUCGGCUUUGUUCGACAAUACACAUAACGCUCUGGCCUCAAAUCAGGUAGGACUACCCGCUGGACUUAAGCAUAUCAAUAAGCGGAGGA